RNAcentral lists this ribosomal RNA (459 nucleotides) under uncultured bacterium. RNAcentral's name for it is "partial 16S ribosomal RNA". It matches the Rfam family "Bacterial small subunit ribosomal RNA", at positions 338 to 795 of the family's 1533-position model. The record is from RNAcentral.
CCUACGUGAGGCAGCAGUGAGGAAUAUUGGUCAAUGGGCGCGAGCCUGAACCAGCCAAGUAGCGUGAAGGAUGACUGCCCUACGGGUUGUAAACUUCUUUUAUAAAGGAAUAAAGUGAGGCAAGUGUGCCUUUGUGUAUGUACUUUAUGAAUAAGGAUCGGCUAACUCCGUGCCAGCAGCCGCGGUAAUACGGAGGAUGCGAGCGUUAUCCGGAUUUAUUGGGUUGAAAGGGUGCGCAGGCGGGCUGUUAAGUCAGCGGUAAAAGCCCGGGGCUCAACCCCGGCGAGCCGUUGAAACUGGCUGUGUUGUGAUGUCGAGAGGUAUGCGGAAUGCGCAGUGUAGCGGUGAAAUGCUUAGAUAUUGCGCAGAACUCCGAUUGCGAAGGCAGCAUACCGGCGGCGAUCUGACGCUGAGGCACGAAAGCGUGGGUAUCGAACAGGAUUAGAUACCCCGGUAGUC